This 253-nucleotide ribosomal RNA is filed under the name uncultured bacterium. RNAcentral's name for it is "partial 16S ribosomal RNA". It matches the Rfam family "Bacterial small subunit ribosomal RNA", at positions 524 to 776 of the family's 1533-position model. The record is from RNAcentral.
UACGGAGGGUGCAAGCGUUAUCCGGAUUCACUGGGUUUAAAGGGUGCGUAGGCGGGCAGGCAAGUCAGUGGUGAAAUCCUUGAGCUUAACUCGAGAACUGCCAUUGAUACUAUCUGUCUUGAAUAUUGUGGAGGUAAGCGGAAUAUGUCAUGUAGCGGUGAAAUGCUUAGAUAUGACAUAGAACACCUAUUGCGAAGGCAGCUUACUACGCAUAUAUUGACGCUGAGGCACGAAAGCGUGGGGAUCAAACAGG